This is a small nucleolar RNA of Cynara cardunculus var. scolymus (artichoke), 107 nucleotides long. The record is from RefSeq and is a predicted model, not a curated record. NCBI's taxonomy places the organism in Eukaryota, Viridiplantae, Streptophyta, Magnoliopsida, Asterales, Asteraceae.
AUUCCAUGAUGAGGACACUUCCGAAGAAGAUCCUUGAAUCUCUCUCAUGAAUCCGAUACCUCUUCAUCUUCUUCUUGGCGAAACGUCAUAAUUUCAUUUCUAAUUUU